CAACAUGGACACAUUUAUUAACAUCCCGCAUGAAUUUGUGUCGUCUUUACAAUUUUUUGCGCUGAAUUUGUAUGCUUAUUAAUACUGCCGCAUGAUAUCAGUAGCUGCUAUAAAACUAGAGUGUAUAGCAUGUGUAUUAUACGAUGUUUCCCACGUAAAAAUCGCAGGUUGUUUUGGUGCGGCUGGGCACUCUACUGGUGAUUGACACCAGAGACUGAGAAAAACUUUGACAUAAUUUUCAAGUUUGAUAUGACCUAAUAACUACCACAUUUACAGGAAGUAUGGUAAUACAUUCUUGUCAGCUGUCUGGGCAAAUCUUCUCUCGCAGAAUUGGAUUAAAAUUUAAUGUAUUUUAUUUCUCACUUCCAACGAUGUCGCAAUUAUUAGGCAGCUAUCAAGUCUCAAGAUAUGACAUAAUUUGAUAGAAUGUUAGUACCAACGCUAUCAGUGCAUUGAAGUCGAGUUCUCGAUACAGGGAGCUGCUGGUAAACUACCGUCGCUAUACAUCGACUAUGACUACAAUCUUACUUUUAAAAACAAACUACAUACAUAUCUCACAUUUGCGAGGACUACUUCAUCACAAGCAAAAAAUCGACAUUGGUAAAUAAAGGUCUGUCUUCUAUAACCACGAUGAAAAGAAAAGCUGGGCGAAAACAUUUGAGACUGCAGAUUGCAGAACUGGAACACUCUAUUUGAAGACAGUGGCUGCUGAGUGCUGAGCUGCAUCAAAUCUAUCAGCAUCAUGUAACUUCGAUCAGGAACAGACUCCAUUUCAUUUCCGACAACU
Bolinopsis microptera is the source of this 787-nucleotide long non-coding RNA. RefSeq lists it as uncharacterized. The transcript has 4 exons. Lineage: Eukaryota; Metazoa; Ctenophora; Tentaculata; Lobata; Bolinopsidae. The record is from RefSeq and is a predicted model, not a curated record.